This 440-nucleotide ribosomal RNA is filed under the name uncultured bacterium. RNAcentral describes it as "partial 16S ribosomal RNA". It matches the Rfam family "Bacterial small subunit ribosomal RNA", at positions 338 to 795 of the family's 1533-position model. The record is from RNAcentral.
CCUACGGGAGGCAGCAGUGGGGAAUAUUGCACAAUGGGGGAAACCCUGAUGCAGCGACGCCGCGUGAGCGAUGAAGUAUUUCGGUAUGUAAAGCUCUAUCAGCAGGGAAGAAAAUGACGGUACCUGACUAAGAAGCCCCGGCUAACUACGUGCCAGCAGCCGCGGUAAUACGUAGGGGGCAAUAGUUAUCCGGAUUUACUGGGUGUAAAGGGAGCGUAGACGGCGGUGCAAGCCAGAUGUGAAAGUCUGGGGCUCAACCCCGGGACUGCAUUUGGAACUGGGCUGCUAGAGUGUCGGAGAGGCAGGCGGAAUUCAUAGGGUAGCGGUGAAAUGCGUAGAUAUUAGGAGGAACACCAGUGGCGAAGGCGGCCUGCUGGACGAUGACUGACGUUGAGGCUCGAAAGCGUGGGGAGCAAACAGGAUUAGAUACCCGUGUAGUC